ACUUAAAUUGAAGAGUUUGAUCAUGGCUCAGAUUGAACGCUGGCGGCAGGCCUAACACAUGCAAGUCGAACGGUAGCACAGAGGAGCUUGCUCCUUGGGUGACGAGUGGCGGACGGGUGAGUAAUGUCUGGGAAACUGCCCGAUGGAGGGGGAUAACUACUGGAAACGGUAGCUAAUACCGCAUAACGUCGCAAGACCAAAGAGGGGGACCUUCGGGCCUCUUGCC
RNAcentral lists this ribosomal RNA (226 nucleotides) under Citrobacter freundii. RNAcentral's name for it is "partial 16S ribosomal RNA". It matches the Rfam family "Bacterial small subunit ribosomal RNA", at positions 1 to 219 of the family's 1533-position model. The record is from RNAcentral. Lineage: Bacteria; Pseudomonadati; Pseudomonadota; Gammaproteobacteria; Enterobacterales; Enterobacteriaceae.